Molecule: long non-coding RNA, 231 nt
Organism: Archocentrus centrarchus (flier cichlid)
Lineage: Eukaryota; Metazoa; Chordata; Actinopteri; Cichliformes; Cichlidae
Exons: 3
Source: RefSeq, a predicted model, not a curated record
CAGAGAAGUUUCCCUUGAUCUCUGUCUUUCAGGCUCGGCUCUCUGCCUUUUAAUAGCAGAGUUUGAAUCCACCUACAUUGCUCAUGGUCUUGCUUCCCUUCCACCUGGUCUCCUGCACUUCCGUCUCUUCCGGCUCUUUCCUUAGGCAUAGGCUUGUAUGAAUAAAUGGAUAAAGGAAAUCAGACUUCCAGGCUGCCUUCCUUACCUGCAGUAUAGUUAUUCUCUUUGGAC